This 399-nucleotide ribosomal RNA is filed under the name uncultured bacterium. Its description in RNAcentral is "bacterial SSU rRNA". It matches the Rfam family "Bacterial small subunit ribosomal RNA", at positions 358 to 773 of the family's 1533-position model. The record is from RNAcentral.
GGAAUCUUGGACAAUGGGGGCAACCCUGAUCCAGCGACGCCGCGUGGGUGAUGAAGGCCUUCGGGUUGUAAAGCCCUUUCGACGGGGACGAUGAUGACGGUACCCGGCGAAGAAGCACCGGCUAACUCCCUGCCAGCGGCCGCGGGAAGACGGCGGGUGCUAGCGUUGGUCGGAAUCACUGGGCGUAAAGGGCGCGUAGGCGGCCCAGCGUGUCGGCUCGUGAAAGCCCGGGGCUCAACCCCGGAGGUGCGGCCGAAACUGAUGGGCUGGAGGCCGGAAGAGGAGGGUGGAAUACCCAGUGUAGAGGUGAAAUUCGUAGAUAUUGGGUGGAACACCGGUGGCGAAAGCGGCUCUCUGGUCCGGUCCUGACACUGAGGCGCGAAAGCGUGGGGAGCAAAC